CUCUAAAAUCGGCGUAAUCUCUGGUUUGCAUUUCAUUAUUGCUGUUUACAUUACUGCAAACCUUCUUACAUGCUUUAGUUCCUUAUUACCGUUGCUGCGCAACUUCAAGAAUACGCUUUCAAGUUAAGUCUUUCAAGUUUCGUUCUUAUCAUAUGAAAGAUUUUUCUAAAACCGAAGUUUUAAUCCGCUGCACUAAUUCACCC
Molecule: long non-coding RNA, 203 nt
Filed under: Musa acuminata (dwarf banana)
Lineage: Eukaryota; Viridiplantae; Streptophyta; Magnoliopsida; Zingiberales; Musaceae
Description: long non-coding RNA (MACU_LNC008157)
Source: RNAcentral